CAGUAGCCGCGGGAAUACGUAGGUGGCAAGCGUUGUCCGGAAUUAUUGGGCGUAAAGGGCUCGCAGGCGGUUUCUUAAGUCUGAUGUGAAAGCCCCCGGCUCAACCGGGGAGGGUCAUUAGAAACUGGGAGACUUGAGUGCAGAAGAGGAGAGUGGAAUUCCACGUGUAGCGGUGAAAUGCGUAGAGAUGUGGAGGAACACCAGUGGCGAAGGCGACUCUCUGGUCUGUAACUGACGCUGAGGAGCGAAAGCGUGGGGAGCGAACAGGAUUAGAUACCCGCGUAGUCCCUGUCUCUUAUAC
RNAcentral lists this ribosomal RNA (301 nucleotides) under uncultured bacterium. RNAcentral describes it as "partial 16S ribosomal RNA". It matches the Rfam family "Bacterial small subunit ribosomal RNA", at positions 509 to 807 of the family's 1533-position model. The record is from RNAcentral.